RNAcentral lists this ribosomal RNA (253 nucleotides) under uncultured bacterium. RNAcentral describes it as "partial 16S ribosomal RNA". It matches the Rfam family "Bacterial small subunit ribosomal RNA", at positions 524 to 776 of the family's 1533-position model. The record is from RNAcentral.
UACGGAGGAUGCGAGCGUUAUCCGGAUUUAUUGGGCGUAAAGGGAGCGUAGGCGGAUUUUUAAGUGAGAUGUGAAAUACUCGGGCUCAACUUGAGUGCUGCAUUUCAAACUGGAAGUCUAGAGUGCAGGAGAGGAGAAUGGAAUUCCUAGUGUAGCGGUGAAAUGCGUAGAGAUUAGGAAGAACACCAGUGGCGAAGGCGAUUCUCUGGACUGUAACUGACGCUGAGGCUCGAAAGCGUGGGGAGCAAACAGG